AAAUAAGAAGCGAAAUAUUGCAAUCAGUUUCGACCUGAUAUUAUGGCAUAAUAUGCCCUUAUUUA
RNAcentral lists this transfer RNA (65 nucleotides) under Angaracris rhodopa. Its description in RNAcentral is "tRNA-Arg". Lineage: Eukaryota; Metazoa; Arthropoda; Insecta; Orthoptera; Acrididae. The record is from RNAcentral. RNAcentral also lists the same sequence under 3 other names.